UGCCCUUGUGUUACCCAUUCAUUUUUUAAAGUGAUGAAUGUGGCGUCAAACAGGGCAGAAAUUAAACUCCAUGCUAUCCAAGGUGCUUUGGACUUUUAUUUCCAUGUCCACAGCACAGGUCUGCAUAGAGACAAUA
RNAcentral lists this small nucleolar RNA (136 nucleotides) under Leptobrachium leishanense (Leishan spiny toad). RNAcentral describes it as "Small nucleolar RNA SNORA13 (ENSLLEG00000000084.1)". It matches the Rfam family "Small nucleolar RNA SNORA13". Rfam says of the family: ACA13 is a member of the H/ACA class of snoRNA that guide the sites of modification of uridines to pseudouridines. The record is from Rfam by way of RNAcentral. Lineage: Eukaryota; Metazoa; Chordata; Amphibia; Anura; Megophryidae.